UACAGAGGGGGCAAGCGUUGUUCGGAAUUACUGGGCGUAAAGGGCGCGUAGGCGGCCUGUUAAGUCGAACGUGAAAUCCCCGGGCUCAACCCAGGAACUGCGUCCGAUACUGGCAGGCUUGAAUCCGGGAGAGGGAUGUGGAAUUCCAGGUGUAGCGGUGAAAUGCGUAGAUAUCUGGAGGAACACCGGUGGCGAAGGCGGCAUCCUGGACCGGUAUUGACGCUGAGGCGCGAAAGCCAGGGGAGCAAACGGG
Molecule: ribosomal RNA, 253 nt
Filed under: uncultured bacterium
Lineage: Bacteria
Description: partial 16S ribosomal RNA
Rfam family: Bacterial small subunit ribosomal RNA
Source: RNAcentral